This 596-nucleotide long non-coding RNA is filed under the name Amphimedon queenslandica. Its description in RNAcentral is "uncharacterized LOC109585031, transcript variant X2". The record is from RNAcentral. Lineage: Eukaryota; Metazoa; Porifera; Demospongiae; Haplosclerida; Niphatidae.
GCUGAUGCUGCUGUGCUGUGGUUCAUGGACAUUAUGAAAAGUAUCCACCAAAAAAUGAAUAUGAUUAUGAUAUUAAUACUCCAGUAGAAGAUGAUACUUGCUCCACUGAUGGUAAGUAUUGUAAAUUUACUAACAUUACAAAUUGUAAUGUUAGUAAACAUAAUAUUCAUCAUUUUUGUAGCUGAAAUUGUGCAGCCAAAUACAACAUCAGUCCCUUUAAACAGAGCUGAUGUAUAUGAUUGUAGCGGAUCAAUUACUAAUAAUUAUAAUAUCAAUGAAUGUGAAUGAAGUUUUACCUAUUCACUUUCCAACAGAAAAUUCCUUUAUUGAUAAAUCACUGAGUGUUGAAGAGAAGCCAGGAGCACUUGUAACAGACAUUAUGUUAAACAAUUCUACUGAAGUGGUUGCUACAAGUUGUGAAGUAAUGACAAGUAAUGAAUACAGUACACCAAAUGUUUCUGAAGAUUAUUCAGAUUAUAAAAAUCAUGGGGUGAGUACUAUUUUAAAUAAGACAGUACUUUAUUUUGUUUAAUUUAGGUACCAGAAGUAAUGCAACGCACUGGUAAUAAAGUAAACUUACUAACACAAAUUUUUCA